AAAAGGUGAGCAUGAUAGCGAUGGGGAAGAGAGGAGUACAAAAAUUGGGUGGUGGGUGGGUGACAGUUGAUGACUUUAGAGCAUCUGCAACAGACUAUCUAUUUUUGCCUCUCCAUUUGACUCUCUAUCCAAGUUGGAAAAAAGAUUCCUCUUCAUAUUGAGUUGUUCAUUCCAACAUACUAUCCAUUUCCCACCCUCCAAAUCCCAAUAGCUAGGUUCCUCUCUAAAAAUAUACACUCUUCAUUCACUCCAACAGCC
RNAcentral lists this long non-coding RNA (258 nucleotides) under Setaria viridis. RNAcentral describes it as "long non-coding RNA (SVIR_LNC009719)". The record is from RNAcentral. Lineage: Eukaryota; Viridiplantae; Streptophyta; Magnoliopsida; Poales; Poaceae.